Non-coding RNA from Mesocricetus auratus (golden hamster), 2717 nucleotides. NCBI's taxonomy places the organism in Eukaryota, Metazoa, Chordata, Mammalia, Rodentia, Cricetidae. The record is from the annotation of a RefSeq genome assembly.
CAGCAGAGUAUGCCCAAGGGUGCAGAGAGCCAAUGGGAGCCAACGAGGUCACUGAGCUCAGAGCCCAACACCACAGGCAGUGAGAUGAGAGGAGGGGAGAGAGAGGAGGAGCUGACUCUGCUCUCAUAAGGACAGCAGCAUCCUGAGGAGAAGGAUGAGUGACACUGCCCUCCCUGACUCUGCCUGGGGCCCCACCCUGCUCUGCUGUGUCACUGUCUUUCUCCUGGGGACAGGUUCAGCAAAACCCGGGGUCAUCCAGUCUCCAAGACAUCUAAUCAAAGCAAGGGGAGGAAGGUCCAUGCUGAAAUGCAUUCCCAUCUCUGGACAUGACAGAGUGAGCUGGUACCAGCAGACUCUGGGGCAGGAACUGAGGUUCCUCAUUCAGCAUUAUCAAGAAAUGGAGGGAGAGAAAGGAAGCAUCCCCAGCCGAUUCUCAGUGCAGCAGUUCAGUGACUAUCACUCUGAGAUGAACAUGAGCGCCUUGCAGCUGGAGGAUUCUGCUGUGUAUUUCUGUGCUAGCUCAUCACAGCCUUACAGAGUGACUGGCUUUCUGUCCCCAAUCUUCCUGUGCCAGUUGGUGAUGUACUAUGGAGGGGUGGGGACUUGCUGCACAGCUGCCCUAGCUGUGGCUCAAGAAUGCAUUAACUCUAUACUAGGCCCCUCUGCCCACCUGAGCUCAGACGGAGUCCUAAACACUAUCGAGGACUCCAUGACUCCUGACGUUGGCACAUGUCCGCCAGUGCCUUCCAGUUCCUUGCCAGUGGCAGGAACCUUAGUCUGGGUUGGGUGCCUGGGUGUUGUCAUAAGCUACAUGUUUCAUUCCAAAGGUAUACUCUCGUGUUCCACUUGCUGAUGAAGAUUUCUACAUGUCACUAUGUAGAGAGGAAUUGAUAACUUAUGAAACUAUCCAACAUUUCAUGCUUAAGAAUAUCAGUAUUAGCAUUGAAACUUUCGUUUCUUUUCCUUCAAAAUCAAAGUGUGACUUUUUAAGGUGUUCACUGCUUUGGUUAAAAAAAAAGUAGCAGCUUUCAGCCUCUUGUGUUUAUAAGACCAGCUGAGAUUAGUAUGUAUGUAUUUGGGGAGUGCUGAAAGUUUACUGAUCUGAAAUAUUAAACCAGAUAAUGUUUUUCUUCUUAUAGCUUCAAGAGGAGACUUUCAUUUCCAGCAAAAGAGAAUUUGUUGUGCAAAAAUCAAGUAUUCAAUUUAAUAAGAAUAUAAAGAUAUUUGUGACGGAUACAUCUAUCUCCAGUGACAUAACAGUAUUGUAAAGAAGAUUAUCACUACUGGUAGACUAGACCUUGUUUUGGAAAUGAGCACAAGAGCUGUGAAUUUUCAUGUUCCUCACUCCAAACAUCUAAGUCUUCGGUAGAAAGUGACUCUUUCUCAGGCUGACUUUGGCCAUGAGCAGUUUCCGGGUUUUUUGUUUGUUUGUUUGUUUGUUUUGUUUUGUUGUUGUUGUUGACUACUGGUCUCUGUGGACAAUCAAGCUCAGGGAAUACAUGAGAAUGCAGUUUCUGGGACUUCAGACCCUGUACCUAGCUUCUCCAUACGGAUGCUACGCAGUCCACUUUGUCUCUGCUUAUGAUUUUGACCCUUCCUCACCAGGGUAGGACUAUAGAAAGUAUCCCUCAAGAUCCCCCCAGGAUUGGAGCCACAGAGAGGGGGCUUCAUACGUUGAUAUUGUCUGUGUAGACAGUACCUGAGAUAAGCUUUAUGGGAAGGAACCUAUACUGUCUUUGAGUACAGGGAAGUGCUUCAUGCUAGCAAACUUACGAUAAAGGUGAUAUAAGAGCUUUUGCAUGAUUUUGGUACUUUUCUCUGGGAUCCUACAGUCACCAGAUGUACACAUUGACUGGCAAACACAUCAUCACCAUUGCAAAGGGGGUUUCUUCUUUACUGGAAGCAUAAUGACAAAGACUUAGAUCCACCCUCAACAGCUUCUUCUGAAACAAAGGUGACAUUCCUUUCAGUGAAGGAACACUCUCUGGGCUGAACCUAGAAUGUGAAGCUUAUGUCCCUGAAUUGGUAUGGGAUAGCUCAAAACAAUUGUUCAAUUUGUAAUAACCUUAAUCUUGGUGUCUUGUAAGCUUUCUGGGUGUCAAGCAGUCCUUGUAGUCAUAGAUGACACUGACAGUUUAUCUUCCAGUAUUUAGACUAAGUAAAUAAUUAGUAGAAACUGCAUAGAAAGCAUAUUGCAUUUCCAAGGUGCAUCGAGACUCUGCAAAUAGCAAACAAUAAAGCAAUGUAAGUACAGAAUGGUAUCAUAGUAGGAAUAAUAUAAGCCUAAUAUACUGACUAAAAUAAGAGAAAGAGUACAGACUUCUAGAAAAUAAAAAAUAAACUACAAAUUCUUUUCUGAGCUGGAAAUUUUUGAAAAUACAUUCCAAAUAUUGUUGCACAUUUCACCUAUGCACUUACAAUUGAAAGCUAACUUGCUUCUAUAUGAAAGGAGCAUGGUGCAGCUCAAGCAUUCGUUAGAGACAGUGACAUCACUAAGUCACUGAGAGCCCCAGCUCUCGUUUCCACAAAGCGGGCUGGAAGACAUCAGAUCUUGCCUUGGUCCUGAGAUGGACGUCAGGCUCUUCUGUGUGGCCUUGAGUCUGCUGUGUGCAAGUGAGUGCUGGACAGGACAGAGGUGUGCUUCCCUACCCAAAAUUCCCAAGUCUUUGAGCUGAGAUGACAUCAUCAGGCUCUGUCUCUCUCUAUUACAGAACCCA